This 253-nucleotide ribosomal RNA is filed under the name uncultured bacterium. RNAcentral's name for it is "partial 16S ribosomal RNA". It matches the Rfam family "Bacterial small subunit ribosomal RNA", at positions 524 to 776 of the family's 1533-position model. The record is from RNAcentral.
UACGAAGGGGGCUAGCGUUGCUCGGAAUUACUGGGCGUAAAGCGCACGUAGGCGGCUUUCUAAGUCGGGGGUGAAAUCCUGGAGCUCAACUCCAAAACUGCCUUCGAUACUGGAGAGCUCGAGUCCGGGAGAGGUGAGUGGAAUUCCGAGUGUAGAGGUGAAAUUCGUAGAUAUUCGGAAGAACACCAGUGGCGAAGGCGGCUCACUGGACCGGUAUUGACGCUGAGGUGCGAAAGCGUGGGGAGCAAACAGG